RNAcentral lists this ribosomal RNA (135 nucleotides) under Enterococcus malodoratus. RNAcentral describes it as "23S rRNA. Bacterial LSU". It matches the Rfam family "Bacterial large subunit ribosomal RNA", at positions 2792 to 2925 of the family's 2925-position model. The record is from RNAcentral. Lineage: Bacteria; Bacillati; Bacillota; Bacilli; Lactobacillales; Enterococcaceae.
GCCCACCUCAAGAUGAGAUUUCCCAUUUCUUUAAGAAAGUAAGAUCCCUGAGAGAUGAUCAGGUAGAUAGGUCAGGAGUGGAAGUGCAGUGAUGUACGGAGCGGACUGAUACUAAUCGAUCGAGGACUUAACCAA